GUAUCGGUGGUUGAGUGGUAGAAUUCUCGCCUGCCACGCGGGAGGCCCGGGUUCGAGUCCCGGCCGAUGCA
This 71-nucleotide transfer RNA is filed under the name Penaeus japonicus. RNAcentral describes it as "tRNA-Gly". It matches the Rfam family "tRNA". Rfam says of the family: Transfer RNA (tRNA) molecules are approximately 80 nucleotides in length. The record is from RNAcentral. Lineage: Eukaryota; Metazoa; Arthropoda; Malacostraca; Decapoda; Penaeidae.